CUACGGGGGGUGCAAGCGUUAAUCGGAAUUACUGGGCGUAAAGCGCGCGUAGGCGGUUUGCUCAGUCGGAUGUGAAAGCCCAGGGCUCAACCUUGGAACUGCAUACGAUACUGGCAAACUAGAGUGUGCGAGAGGAUAGUGGAAUUUCCGGUGUAGCGGUGAAAUGCGUAGAUAUCGGAAGGAACAUCAGUGGCGAAGGCGACUGUCUGGCUCAACACUGACGCUGAGGUGCGAAAGCGUGGGUAGCAAACAGAAUUAGAAACCCUAGUAGUCC
Molecule: ribosomal RNA, 274 nt
Filed under: uncultured bacterium
Lineage: Bacteria
Description: partial 16S ribosomal RNA
Rfam family: Bacterial small subunit ribosomal RNA
Source: RNAcentral